CUCUUUACUCACAAACAAGAGGCAAAAGCGCUUUCUCAGCACCUAUCACUAUUUUCACCGCUUCCAAACACAAAAGCUUUCUCAACGUGAAUACUCAUCGUGAUGUUGUAAGCUUCCAAACACAAAAGCGCUUUCUCAGCAAUCCCUCCUCUCAAUCGUAAACUCAGCGAUGACCAAAAUCGCUUCAAAUCGGAUUUCGUUUCUUCUUAUUCUUCGAAGCUAAUCACUCUGUCACAUUAUCACAUUUCGUUUAUUGGGAGCUAAAUCGGAUUUCAUUUCCUCUUCUUCGAAGCUAAAUCGCAAUCUCACUGUAAGUGAAAUCUCUCUCUCUCUCUCUCUCUCCAUUUCGUUUCUCUGAGCUUACAUCGAUGUGCAUUUUGGUGGUUUUAGGUCAUUGUUGUGUUUGAUUAAGUGAUUUUUGCAAAUGUGAUUUCUGAUUUUAGGUUAUUGUUGGUGAAUAUUAAUUAAGAAAUUAGGGUUAAGAGUGAGUUCUUGUUGUUUUUACUUGCACACAGAGUGUUCUUACUGAAAAAUGCAAAUAAAGAAUACGCAAAUAAAGAAUACUUACCUUAGCAAAGUUGAAUUCACAUUUUGAGUUCGUAUUUUGGUGAUUUUAGGUCAUUGUUGUGUUUGAUUAAGAGAUUUUUGCAAAGGUGAUUUCUGAUUUUAGGUCAUUGUUAGUGAAGAUUAAUUAAGAAAUUCGGGUAUAUUCAAUGAUUUUAGGUCUUGUUGUUUUUACUUGCACACAGAGUGUUCUUACUGAAAAAUGCAAAUGAAGAAUACUUACCGGUGAUGGUGACAGAGAGAACUGAGUAUGUGUAUUGUGCGGUGACUAGUUCCCCUUUUGAAUGAGUAAUUAGUUAAGAGUUUUUAGAAUUUUAAAAGCUUUUAAGAUUCAAUGAACAUAUAUGAGUUUGUGUUAUCUUGCUUUUGGAUGAAUUGAAGAAAGUGUAAUGGACAAAUUGAAAGUGAUGCAUCAAUAACUUGUGUAAUUCAACACUGAUUUUUGCCCAAGCCUUUUGGUUUGUUAGACUUAGAUUGGUUUCAUAAGAGCUUUGUAAAUAUUGGUGUCUUAUUAACUUGUGGAGUUUUGUUUAUAUGAACAGAGGUUUUUGAUAAGGUAUCAUGGCUUCUUGAAAAGGUCAGUGGACGUGGUCAAAAUGGUCAGUGGACGUAUUGGGUAAAUACAAGUAAGUUUUACCUUCAUUUAUGUGAUUUGUGUAGAUUCAAAAUGGUCCCAGGAAGUAUUCUUCUUGGUUAUGUGGGGAUUGAAAAUGUUCAAAAGGUUGUGAUUGAAUCAAUACUGAGGAAACUUUCACACACUGUGACAACGGUAUGUUACAAUCUAGCUUCUGUUCUUUUUUU
Molecule: long non-coding RNA, 1365 nt
Filed under: Trifolium pratense (red clover)
Lineage: Eukaryota; Viridiplantae; Streptophyta; Magnoliopsida; Fabales; Fabaceae
Description: long non-coding RNA (TPRA_LNC006504)
Source: RNAcentral